RNAcentral lists this transfer RNA (75 nucleotides) under Anaerolineales bacterium. RNAcentral describes it as "tRNA-Phe". It matches the Rfam family "tRNA". Rfam says of the family: Transfer RNA (tRNA) molecules are approximately 80 nucleotides in length. Lineage: Bacteria; Bacillati; Chloroflexota; Anaerolineae; Anaerolineales. The record is from RNAcentral. RNAcentral also lists the same sequence under 1 other name.
GGAUGUGUAGCUCAGCGGGUAGAGCACCUGGUUGAAGCCCAGGGUGCGCAGGGUCGGUACCUGCCACAUCCACCA